This 145-nucleotide unclassified non-coding RNA is filed under the name soil metagenome. Its description in RNAcentral is "partial internal transcribed spacer 1". The record is from RNAcentral.
UAAUAAGUGUUUUAUGGCACUUUUUAAAUCCAUAUCCACCUUGUGUGCAAUGUCAGUCGAUCUUCUUCAUGGAGAUCGACCAAACAUCAACCUUUAUCUUUUAACUCUUGGUCUGAAAAAUAUUAUGAAUAAACAAUUCAAAAUA